This 440-nucleotide ribosomal RNA is filed under the name uncultured bacterium. Its description in RNAcentral is "partial 16S ribosomal RNA". It matches the Rfam family "Bacterial small subunit ribosomal RNA", at positions 338 to 795 of the family's 1533-position model. The record is from RNAcentral.
CCUACGGGAGACAGCAGUGGGGAAUAUUGCACAAUGUGGGAAACCCUGAUGCAGCGACGCCGCGUGAGUGAAGAAGUAUUUCGUUACGUAAAGCUCUAUCAGCAGGGAAGAAAAUGACGGUACCUGACUAAGAAGCCCCUGCUAACUACGUGCCAGCAGCCGCGGUAAUACGUAGGGGGCACGCGUUAUCCGGAUUUACUGGGUGUAAAGGGAGCGUAGACGGCAGCGCAAGUCUGGAGUGAAAUCCCAUGGGUUAAACAUGGAACUGCUGUGGAAACUGUGCAGCUGGAGUGCAGGAGAGGUAAGCGGAAUUCCUAGUGUAGCGGUGAAAUGCGUAGAUAUUAGGAGGAACACCAGUGGCGAAGGCGGCUUACUGGACUGUAACUGACGUUGAGGCUCGAAAGCGUGGGGAGCAAACAGGAUUAGAUACCCUUGUAGUC